RNAcentral lists this non-coding RNA (20 nucleotides) under Rattus norvegicus (Norway rat). Lineage: Eukaryota; Metazoa; Chordata; Mammalia; Rodentia; Muridae. The record is from RNAcentral.
CUGGUACAAGAUGAAUGCUA